RNAcentral lists this ribosomal RNA (373 nucleotides) under uncultured organism. RNAcentral's name for it is "partial 16S ribosomal RNA". It matches the Rfam family "Bacterial small subunit ribosomal RNA", at positions 527 to 896 of the family's 1533-position model. The record is from RNAcentral.
GUAGGUGGCAAGCGUUGUCCGGAAUUAUUGGGCGUAAAGCGCGCGCAGGCGGUUCUUUAAGUCUGAUGUGAAAGCCCACGGCUCAACCGUGGAGGGUCAUUGGAAACUGGAGAACUUGAGUACAGAAGAGGAAAGCGGAAUUCCACGUGUAGCGGUGAAAUGCGUAGAGAUGUGGAGGAACACCAGUGGCGAAGGCGGCUUUCUGGUCUGUAACUGACGCUGAGGCGCGAAAGCGUGGGGAGCAAACAGGAUUAGAUACCCUGGUAGUCCACGCCGUAAACGAUGAGUGCUAAGUGUUAGGGGGGUUUCCGCCCCCCUUAGUGCUGCAGCUAACGCAUUAAGCACUCCGCCUGGGAGUACUGCCGCAAGGCUG